Molecule: ribosomal RNA, 470 nt
Filed under: Arthroleptis xenodactyloides (Chirinda screeching frog)
Lineage: Eukaryota; Metazoa; Chordata; Amphibia; Anura; Arthroleptidae
Description: partial large subunit ribosomal RNA
Rfam family: Bacterial large subunit ribosomal RNA
Source: RNAcentral
UUGUUCUUUANAUAGGGACUAGUAUGAACGGCACCACGAANACCAUGCUGUCUCCUUUUUCUAAUCAGUGAAACUGAUCUCCCCGUGAAGAAGCGGGGAUUAUUUUAUAAGACGAGAAGACCCUAUGAAGCUUAAAAUUUUCAUCAACUGCCCCCCAUACACCACCUUAACCUGGCAGACCUGAUUACUAAUUUUUGGUUGGGGUGACCGCGGAGCAAAAUUAAACCUCCACAAUGAAAGGAUUAAACCCCUUAUUCAAGAAUCACACUUCUAAAAAUCAAUAUAUUGACAUAAAUUGAUCCAAACCUUUGAUCAAUGAACCAAGUUACUCUAGGGAUAACAGCGCAAUCCAUUUCAAGAGCCCCUAUCGACAAAUGGGUUUACGACCUCGAUGUUGGAUCAGGGUGUCCUAGUGGUGCAACCGCUACUAAAGGUUCGUUUGUUCAACGAUUAAAACCCUACGUGAUCUG